CACUCCUGCGGGAGGCAGCAGUGGGGAAUUUUACGCAAUGGGGGAAACCCUGACGUAGCGACACCGCGUGAGCGAAGAAGCCCUUUGGGGUGUAAAGCUCUGUCAGCUGGAACGAAAACAAUGACGGUACCAGCAGAGGAAGCAUCGGCUAACUACGUGCCAGCAGCCGCGGUAAGACGUAGGAUGCGAGCGUUGUCCGGAUUUAUUGGGCGUAAAGAGUUCGUAGGUGGUUUGUUAAGUUUGGUGUUAAAGAUCGGGGCUCAACCCUGGGACUGCACUGAAUACUGGCAGACUCGAGUGUGGUAGAGGCUAGUGGAAUUCCCAGUGUAGCGGUGAAAUGCGUAGAUAUUGGGAAGAACACCGGUGGCGUAGGCGACUAGCUGGGCCAUAACUGACGCUGAGGAACGAAAGCCAGGGGAGCGAAUGGGAUUAGAAACCUCUGUAGUCCCAUGAU
Molecule: ribosomal RNA, 454 nt
Filed under: uncultured organism
Description: partial 16S ribosomal RNA
Rfam family: Bacterial small subunit ribosomal RNA
Source: RNAcentral